This 253-nucleotide ribosomal RNA is filed under the name uncultured bacterium. Its description in RNAcentral is "partial 16S ribosomal RNA". It matches the Rfam family "Bacterial small subunit ribosomal RNA", at positions 524 to 776 of the family's 1533-position model. The record is from RNAcentral.
UACGUAGGUGGCAAGCGUUGUCCGGAUUUACUGGGCGUAAAGGGAGCGUAGGCGGACUUUUAAGUGAGAUGUGAAAUACCCGGGCUCAACUUGGGUGCUGCAUUUCAAACUGGAAGUCUAGAGUGCAGGAGAGGAGAGUGGAAUUCCUAGUGUAGCGGUGAAAUGCGUAGAGAUUAGGAAGAACACCAGUGGCGAAGGCGACUCUCUGGACUGUAACUGACGCUGAGGCUCGAAAGCGUGGGGAGCAAACAGG